This 2548-nucleotide long non-coding RNA is filed under the name Capra hircus (goat). RNAcentral's name for it is "lncRNA (ENSCHIG00010007254.1)". Lineage: Eukaryota; Metazoa; Chordata; Mammalia; Artiodactyla; Bovidae. The record is from RNAcentral.
GAGAAAAGACUGAAGGGAAAGAGCCGACUCAAGGGCAUCGAGGGGAGAACAAAGCCUGAUUCAGCCUGUUCUUUUCCCAGGAAAUCCAGGUGGGCGAAAACCACACCAGGCCGCAGUGGUCCCGCUGCUGGGCCCCCACACCCGCAAUUCUACAGCGUCAGCACCGAGGCCUCAGCAGCCAGCAGCCAGAAGUUUCCUCUCCUGCUGCUGGCUCCACCCCCAGGGACAGCCCCGCUGCUCCAGGCUGCCCAGGGCAGGCCUGGCCCUGAGCCCAUGACCAGAGCAGCACCCUCCUCCAAGCACAGGUGAGGCCUCACCAUGGCGACGCCCUCCUCCAAGGAGAGACACGGACACACAGAUCCAACGUCUUCCGAUCUCUGUUGGGUCUGGGGGCGACGCAUUUCCCCCCAGACCUCCUGGCCACCUGGAGGACGACCGGAGUCUCAGUGUGGGCGUCCCUGGACUUGCGAAGGGUGCUUCCAGCCACACCCCGCCUCCCGCCCUGUGACCGGGCUCCCUGCAGCCCCGCUGCCCUUGGCCCUCAGCCCUGGUGAAGGAAAGAACCCGAGCUCAGCCUACCAGCAGCGGGCCCCCCGAGUGGCCCAUUCCCACGUGAUCACACUGUCCAAGCUUUGCGUAAAAUUCCCGCUUAGGAGUGAAGGACUUUGGGAAUCUCUGGUCUCACAUGAAUACACUGAAAUCCCGCAUGUCUCCAGGCGCACGAAGGCCACACACGGGGUCAGGGAGAGCUGGUUCUUUCGGGCUGACACACACACAAGGGUCAGUCUCACAGCCUGGCUCUGAGGGCGCCCAGAGGGCUGAACUGAGACGCAGACAGGCCUCCUCGGGCAGCCUUCUCCAGACUCCAGUCCAGCAAGUGGGCCUCCAGGAGGGUCCCUGUCUCGUUCCAGGCCUGAAUCUCCCUUCAUUCAAGCACCGUGGCCAACUCACCCCCAUNNNNNNNNNNNNNNNNNNNNNNNNNNNNNNNNNNNNNNNNNNNNNNNNNNNNNNNNNNNNNNNNNNNNNNNNNNNNNNNNNNNNNNNNNNNNNNNNNNNCCCAUGCCAGCUUCUAAAGCUUUCCACUGCCCUUUCCUCUGUUAAAGGGGAUGCAUGCUGCCACUGGGCACUCGAGACGCCCUGCACGUGGGAUCCUUUAAUAAUGCUCCUCUGCUCUCGGCCUCCCCGUGUGGGCCUGCCUCUUUUCUCUGGGGUCUGUGUCCUCUGGUCUAACCAUACCUGAUUAAAAGAAGUCCCGAGGACAGAGUUUAGGGCAGUCUUCAGGAGGCUUUCUCUUCUGAAGUCCCCACGGGGCCUCUGUCAUGUCAAAUCUCCCCCGUUACCCCCCGACAAGGACAUUAGGGCCCAGUCAGAUAAUCCAGGAUCAUCUCCUCACUGUAAGGCCCUUACUUAACUCAGUCGCAGCUGCGAAGUCCCUUCAGGGCCGCAGCUCCCCUCGGGACGGGGCGGCCAGCCGCCGGUGCACCGCUGUGCCCCUCGCAACUGCUGGCAACUGCGGUCAGGGGCUUCCGCCUCGGGAUCUGCCUCGAGCCUCGCGAGCGCGUGCGCGCGCGUCGGGGUCUCCAUCGGGUUUGCGGACAGCAGACCUUCCUGCUGUGCACCCUUCCUUCCCGUGAGGAUCCCCGCCUCCCGCAAGGACACCAGCUGCCAUCAAGGAGGGUCGGUGGUGGUGAACGUCCUCGGAGCUGGACCCUUGGAAGCGUCUCUUCUGGCCUCAUCUCAAAGCACAUUUUUUUGCUGGGUUUAGACGACCUGGCUGACAGCAAUCGACUUUGCUUUCCUUUCCCUUCCGCCGGCUCUGUAGCUUCUGCUGGAAGCUUGGUGCUCUUCCUGCUGCCUGGCUCUGAGGCGAGGGGUCCUUUCCCCCCAGCUGCGUUGGAGGCCCCCCUCUGGCUCUGCCGUCUGCUCUUCACCUGGACGCUCCUGGGUUCUGCUGCCUUCGUCCUUCUCCUCCGGCCGCGCAGCUCGGCUCCAUGCCGUGGCUGGACGGCGUCAGUCACUCUUGGAACGUGAUCAGCACCUCUCCGUCUUCACCGCAGGGGACUGCGGACGAGGGUGGACUCCGGGUGGGCUCUGCUGUCAAGGGAGGUCAGUGUGGGGGCUGGAGGCCCCUCCCUGCGCCCCGAGAUGUCUGGUGGAGGAAGUGCAUUGGCACAGAAGCUCGUAGUGUGCGUGUGCAAUUCAAAGCUGAAACACUUACACCGCUGACCCCACCUCCCCCGACCCAUGGGCCAGGCUGCCCAUCCCGCCACAGAGGUGUCCGCUGCACUUCUCAAAAGCAGCGCAGACCCCGGGCCACCCUGGUUGCUUAACAACAGCUCCUCUCUCAGAAAACCGCAGGUCCCCACGUGGCUCCGGCCAAAUUCCCAAGGGCCACCAGCCCACCUUCCAAAUGGGUCCACAUCUGGUCACCUCCCCGCACCGUCCAGUCGUCGCGGUUUCAGCCAUGGAGCAGCCACCCGGCCGGAGCGUUAGGUUACUUCCCGGCCCGCGGACGACCUUCUGAAGCCCUGACACUACCCCCAAGCGC